AUGGUCUCAACAGAGGCUACAAAUACUAUUUUUGAUAUGUCUCCUAGUCCUAGCACCCUUGUUGGUAAUGUUCUUUACUGGCCGUCUACCUAUGGGCGAGACAACAUACUUCAAUUUGAUUUGGACAGUCAGAACCUUAAGGUGAUUAGAGGGCCUCGCUGUAUGAAUAAUAGGUUGAUCGACCACUUUCAGAUUUUCCAGGCAGAGGAUGGUGUUGUUGGUCUCAUCGUGUUGUCUUGCCAUAACCUUCAAAUCUGGAAAAGAAAGGUGGACUGUAAGGGUGUUGCCAUCUGGUUGAGGCAGAAGACGGUUGCGUUGCGUAACAUUCUUGAGCUCCCUCCUAAGAUUAGGAAAAGGAGGGAACUGCAUGGAAAAUUUGUUGGUCACGAUGAGGACAACAAUGCAAUGUUUUUAUAUAUCGACGGCAAUGUCUAUAUGGUUCAACUCAAGUCAAUGCAAUCCAAGAAACUCAAGGGGAUCGGUUCUGCUAGUUACUGUUAUCCUUUCACAAGUUUCUAUCCACCAAGCACAACUACUACUGCUGAAAAUGGAGCUGAAAUGUUAGGAUGA
This 570-nucleotide ribosomal RNA is filed under the name Triticum aestivum (bread wheat). RNAcentral describes it as "partial small subunit ribosomal RNA". Lineage: Eukaryota; Viridiplantae; Streptophyta; Magnoliopsida; Poales; Poaceae. The record is from RNAcentral.